CAAUAGCUCAGCUGGAUAGAGCAUCAGACUUCGAAUCUGAGGGCCGCGGGUUCGAAUCCUGCUUGGC
Molecule: transfer RNA, 67 nt
Filed under: chicken gut metagenome
Rfam family: tRNA
About the family: Transfer RNA (tRNA) molecules are approximately 80 nucleotides in length.
Source: RNAcentral